GUGUCAGCCGCCGCGGUAAUACGUAGGUGGCAAGCGUUGUCCGGAAUUAUUGGGCGUAAAGCGUGCGCAGGCGGUUUCUUAAGUCUGAUGUGAAAGCCCACGGCUUAACUGUGGAGGUUCAUUUGAAACUGGGAGACUUGAGUGCAGAAGAGGAAAGUGGAAUUCCAAGUGUAGCGGUGAAAUGCGUAGAGAUUUAGAGGAAAACCAGUGGCGAAGGCGACUUUCUG
RNAcentral lists this ribosomal RNA (227 nucleotides) under uncultured bacterium. RNAcentral describes it as "partial 16S rRNA". It matches the Rfam family "Bacterial small subunit ribosomal RNA", at positions 505 to 731 of the family's 1533-position model. The record is from RNAcentral.